This 73-nucleotide transfer RNA is filed under the name Mus musculus (house mouse). Its description in RNAcentral is "tRNA-Asn". The record is from RNAcentral. Lineage: Eukaryota; Metazoa; Chordata; Mammalia; Rodentia; Muridae.
GGAGAGGUGGCUCAGUGGUUAGGAACACUGAUUAUUGUUCCAGAGGUCCUGAGUUCAAUUCCCAGCAACCACA